UCUCUGUGUUUAAUUGGAUAAGGGAAAAUGAGGUAAACAAUCAAGUGACCUUACACAACAUUAUCCAGAUCACUUGAUCUUACACAACAUUAUCCAGAUCACUUGAUCUUACACAACAUUAUCCAGAUCACGUGACCUUAUACAAUAUUAUCCAGAUCACGUGACCCUUACACAGCAUUAUCCAGAUCACAUGACCUUACGCAGCAUUAUUCAGGACCAGAGGAAACAGAGAAGGGACAAAAGCAAUUAUAUUUUCUCUCUUGUAUUAACUGUUGAAUAGGGAAUUGGAAUUGAAUUCUAAUAUCAUAGGUAUUUAAUGGUUUUAUUCAUUGUAUUCAAUUUUGAGAAGAAAAGCAAUGAGAAUCAGCAAAGCACAAAGUUGCCAAAGAAUAGAUGCUGCUCUGCCAGCCUGAAUGUAACAUUCAAAAUGUUCAGAGACGGAAAGCAUUGAUGAGGAAAAAAAGGUACUAUUUGGAUAAGCUUUCACAUAAAAAAAAGGUACUAUUUGGAUAAGCUUUCACAUAAAAAAGGUACUAUUUGGAUAAGCUUUCACAUAAAAAAGGUACUAUUUGGAUAAGCUUUCACAUAAAAAAGGUACUAUUUGGAUAAGCUUUCACAUAAAAAAAGGUACUAUUUGGAUAAGCUUUCACAUAAAAAAGUACUAUUUGGAUAAGCUUUCACAUAAAAAAAGUCACACAAUUUCAAACUGUCUACAUAAUAGAUUCAGAUAUAAUUAAAACAAUAAUAAAACAGUCACCACGCCUCUGCUUUGAUUAAAAGUGUGGGCCUGCAGAAAUGUAACCACAAAAAAUUCACAGACAAAGCAAUAGGUGCAAGGACUGAUCAUCCAUGAUAAAAAUUAUAGUUUUAACCUUGUUUUGAGGCUAUAUGCUGUUUGUUUACAUUUACAUUGUUUACAAACGUUGGAGUAAAACAAGCUUAUUUUUGCGUUUCUGAUGGGGCAUUUAUACCGAGUGUACAAAACUUUAGGAACACCUGCUCUUUCGAUGACAAAGACUGACCAGGUGAAAGCUAUGAUCCCUUAUUGAUGUUACUUGUUAUUUCCACUUUAAUCAGUGUAACUGAAGGGGAGGAGACAGGUUAAAAAAUGAUUUUUAAGCCUUGAGACAAUUGAGAUAUGGAUUGUGUGUGUGCCAUUCAGAGAAGUAAAUGGGCAAGACAAAAUAUUUAAGUGCCGUUGAACGGGGUAUGGUAGUAGGAGCCAGGCGCACCGGUUUGUUUCAAAAACUGCAACGCUGCUAGAUUUUUCACUCUCAACAGUUUCCUGUGUGUAUCAAGAAUGGUCCAUCACCAACUCAAUAAUAUGAAGGUGUUCUUAAUGUUUUGUACACUCAGUGUAUAAGUUCUAUUCUUCAAGAAUCAUUGGUUAUAUAUUUUUAAGUACAGCAAAUGGAUGUAACAACUAAGGACUCUAGCUUUACAGCAUUGUAUUUUUUUAUGUAUUUUUCAUAAAGGUUGGGGAGGAAACAAUCAAUUGAGAAAGAUAAAGCUUCAGAUGGGAGGGGAAGGAUAAUACCCACAGAGACAGGAGGUAACAGUGAUGUGGUAGAAGUAUUGGACAGGAUGUGGUUAGAGAGCAUUAGUGAAAUGAAUGAAGGGAGUUCCUCAGAAGCGCUCCAUCUUGUCGAUGGAUCUCUCAUUGGAGAACGAGGCUGGGGUGAUGCGACAGCUGGUACUCCCCUCCUUACUCAGCCACACCUUCUGGUGAAGAGAGGGAGGGAGAGAGGGAGGGAGAGAGGGAGGGAGAGAGGGGGG
RNAcentral lists this long non-coding RNA (1776 nucleotides) under Salmo salar (Atlantic salmon). RNAcentral's name for it is "lncRNA (ENSSSAG00000090186.1)". Lineage: Eukaryota; Metazoa; Chordata; Actinopteri; Salmoniformes; Salmonidae. The record is from RNAcentral.